RNAcentral lists this ribosomal RNA (1282 nucleotides) under uncultured bacterium. Its description in RNAcentral is "bacterial SSU rRNA". It matches the Rfam family "Bacterial small subunit ribosomal RNA", at positions 69 to 1381 of the family's 1533-position model. The record is from RNAcentral.
UCUGGGAUGACUUCGAACUGAUAGUGCAGAAUGCCGGCGAGCGGCGGACGGCUGAGUAACGCGUGGGAAUUUGCCCCAAAGUGAGGGAUAACUGCCCGAAAGGGUAGCUAAUACCGCAUACGGUCUUCGGAUUAAAGGAUUUAUCCGCUUUGGGAGAAGCCCGCGUUGGAUUAGGUAGUUGGUAGGGUAAUGGCCUACCAAGCCGACGAUCCAUAGCUGGUCUGAGAGGAUGAUCAGCCAGACUGGAACUGAGACACGGUCCAGACUCCUACGGGAGGCAGCAGUGAGGAAUCUUCCACAAUGGGCGAAAGCCUGAUGGAGCAACGCCGCGUGAAGGAUGAAGGCCUUCGGGUUGUAAACUUCUUUUAUGAGUGAAGAAUAUGACGGUAACUCAUGAAUAAGCACCGGCUACCUACGUGCCAGCAGCCGCGGUCAUACGUAGGGUGCAAGCAUUAUCCCGAGUGACUGGGCGUAAAAGAGUUGCGGUAGCCGGUUAAUAAGUGAAUAGUGAAACCUGGUGGCUCAACCCUACAGACUAUUAUUCAAACUGUUAAACUCGAGAGUGGUAGAGGUAACUGGAAUUUCUUGUGUAGGAGUGAAAUCCGUAGAUAUAAGAAGGAACACCAAUGGCGUAGGCAGGUUACUGGACCAUUUCUGACGCUAAGGCACGAAAGCGUGGGGAGCGAACGGGAUUAGAUACCCCGGUAGUCCACGCCGUAAACGAUGGAUACUAGCUGUUGGAGGUAUCGACCCCUUCAGUAGCGAAGCUAACGCGUUAAGUAUCCCGCCUGUGGAGUACGGCCGCAAGGCUAAAACAUAAAGGAAUUGACGGGGACCCGCACAAGCGGUGGAUUAUGUUCUUUAAUUCGAUGAUAACCGAAGAACCUUACCAGGGCUUGACAUCCAGGGAAGGACUACGAAAGUAGUUUGUGCCUUUUGGAACCCUGUGACAGGUGAUGCAUGGCCGUCGUCAGCUCGUGUCGUGAGAUGUUAGGUUAAGUCCUUCAACGAGCGCAACCCUUAUUGUCAGUUGUAUUUUUCUGGCAAGACUGCCCCGGUAACGGGGAGGAAGGAGGGGAUGAUGUCAGGUCAGUAUUUCCCUUACGUCCUGGGCUAGAAACGUAAUACAAUGGCUAGUACAAUGCGCAGCGAAGCCGCGAGGUGAAGCAAAUCGCAUCAAAGCUAGUCCCAGUUCGGAUUGCAGGCUGAAACUCGCCUGCAUGAAGUCGGAAUCGCUAGUAAUCGCAAAUCAGCAAGUUGCGGUGAAUACGCUCCCGGGUCU